GUUCUCGUUUCUCUUAAAUCACGCAUAAAUCUUUCACCCUUUAGUAAAGAUUUCUGCGCCGAAGAACAUCAAUGAGUUUGAUGUAUUUUUUAUGAGCUUUGCUCUGGCAAAGCU
Molecule: small nuclear RNA, 114 nt
Organism: Hemibagrus wyckioides
Lineage: Eukaryota; Metazoa; Chordata; Actinopteri; Siluriformes; Bagridae
Product: U5 spliceosomal RNA
Exons: 1
Source: RefSeq, a predicted model, not a curated record